GACGAACGCUGGCGGCGCGCCUAACACAUGCAAGUCGAACGAGCGAGAGAGAGCUUGCUUUCUCGAGCGAGUGGCGAACGGGUGAGUAACGCGUGAGGAACCUGCCUCAAAGAGGGGGACAACAGUUGGAAACGACUGCUAAUACCGCAUAAGCCCACGGUGCCGCAUGGCACAGAGGGAAAAGGAGCAAUCCGCUUUGAGAUGGCCUCGCGUCCGAUUAGCUAGUUGGUGAGGUAAUGGCCCACCAAGGCGACGAUCGGUAGCCGGACUGAGAGGUUGAACGGCCACAUUGGGACUGAGGCACGGCCCAGACUCCUACGGGAGGCAGCAGUGGGGAAUAUUGCACAAUGGGGGAAACCCUGAUGCAGCGACGCCGCGUGGAGGAAGAAGGUCUUCGGAUUGUAAACUCCUGUUGUUGGGGAAGAUAAUGACGGUACCCAACAAGGAAGUGACGGCUAACUACGUA
This 466-nucleotide ribosomal RNA is filed under the name uncultured bacterium. Its description in RNAcentral is "partial 16S ribosomal RNA". It matches the Rfam family "Bacterial small subunit ribosomal RNA", at positions 28 to 507 of the family's 1533-position model. The record is from RNAcentral.